RNAcentral lists this ribosomal RNA (253 nucleotides) under uncultured bacterium. RNAcentral's name for it is "partial 16S ribosomal RNA". It matches the Rfam family "Bacterial small subunit ribosomal RNA", at positions 524 to 776 of the family's 1533-position model. The record is from RNAcentral.
UACGUAGGGGGCAAGCGUUGUCCGGAAUUAUUGGGCGUAAAGAGCGUGUAGGCGGUCCGGUAAGUCAGCUGUGAAAGUCAAGGGCUCAACCCUUGAAUGCCGGUUGAUACUGCAAAUCUCGAGUCCGGAAGAGGUGAGUGGAAUUCCUAGUGUAGAGGUGAAAUUCGUAGAUAUUAGGAAGAACACCAGUGGCGAAGGCGGCUCACUGGUCCGGUACUGACGCUGAGGUGCGAAAGCGUGGGGAGCAAACAGG